GACGAACGCUGGCGGCGUGCUUAACACAUGCAAGUGGAGCGACGAACCAGGGCUUGCCCUGGGGCAAAGCCGCGAACGGGUGAGUAACACGUGGGUAACCUGCCCAGAUGACCGGGACAACCCGAGGAAACUCGGGCUAAUACCGGAUGUGCUCUUCCUACAUCAGUGGGACGAGGAAAGGUAGCUUCGGCUUCCGCAUCUGGAUGGGCCCGCGGCUCAUUAGCUUGUUGGUGGGGUAAUGGCCUACCAAGGCGACGAUGGGUAGCUGGUCUGAGAGGACGAUCAGCCACACUGGGACUGAGACACGGCCCAGACUCCUACGGGAGGCAGCAGUGGGGAAUCUUGCGCAAUGCGCGAAAGCGUGACGCAGCAACGCCGCGUGCGGGAAGACGGCCUGGUGU
RNAcentral lists this ribosomal RNA (401 nucleotides) under uncultured bacterium. RNAcentral describes it as "bacterial SSU rRNA". It matches the Rfam family "Bacterial small subunit ribosomal RNA", at positions 28 to 422 of the family's 1533-position model. The record is from RNAcentral.